GAUGAACGCUAGCGGCAGGCCUAAUACAUGCAAGUCGAACGGGAUUGAGGAGCUUGCUCCUCAUGAGAGUGGCGCACGGGUGCGUAACACGUAUGUAACCUACCUUAAUCAGGGGAAUAGCAUCUCGAAAGAGAGAUUAACACCGCAUAAAAUCACACUAUGGCAUCAUAGAAUGAUCAAAUAUUUAUAGGUUUAAGAUGGGCAUGCGGAACAUUAGCUAGUUGGUAAGGUAACGGCUUACCAAGGCUACGAUGUUUAGGGGAUCUGAGAGGAUGGCCCCCCACCCUGGUACUGAGACACGGACCAGACUCCUACGGGAGGCAGCAGUAAGGAAUAGUGGUCAAUGGGCGGAAGCCUGAACCAGCCAGGCCGCGUGCAGGAAGACGGCCCUACGGGUUGUAAACUGCUUUUGUACCGGAAUAAACCUUUCUACGUGUAGGAAGCUGAAUGUACGGUAAGAAUAAGGAUCGGCUAACUCCGUGCCAGCCGCCGCCGUAA
RNAcentral lists this ribosomal RNA (498 nucleotides) under uncultured bacterium. Its description in RNAcentral is "partial 16S ribosomal RNA". It matches the Rfam family "Bacterial small subunit ribosomal RNA", at positions 28 to 523 of the family's 1533-position model. The record is from RNAcentral.